RNAcentral lists this transfer RNA (72 nucleotides) under Camelus bactrianus (Bactrian camel). It matches the Rfam family "tRNA". From Rfam's summary of the family: Transfer RNA (tRNA) molecules are approximately 80 nucleotides in length. Their secondary structure includes four short double-helical elements and three loops (D, anti-codon, and T loops). RNAcentral also lists the same sequence under 1 other name. The record is from Rfam by way of RNAcentral. Lineage: Eukaryota; Metazoa; Chordata; Mammalia; Artiodactyla; Camelidae.
GAAGGUAUAGCUUAGUGGUAGAGUGCAUGCUUAGCAUGAAGGACGUCCUGGGUUCAAUCCCCAGUACCUCCA